CAGUAGCCGCGGGAAUACGUAGGUGGCAAGCGUUGUCCGGAAUUAUUGGGCGUAAAGGGCUCGCAGGCGGUUUCUUAAGUCUGAUGUGAAAGCCCCCGGCUCAACCGGGGAGGGUCAUUGGAAACUGGGAGACUUGAGUGCAGAAGAGGAGAGUGGAAUUCCACGUGUAGCGGUGAAAUGCGUAGAGAUGUGGAGGAACACCAGUGGCGAAGGCGACUCUCUGGUCUGUAACUGACGCUGAGGAGCGAAAGCGUGGGGAGCGAACAGGAUUAGAGACCCGAGUAGUCCCUGUCUCUUAUAU
This 301-nucleotide ribosomal RNA is filed under the name uncultured bacterium. RNAcentral describes it as "partial 16S ribosomal RNA". It matches the Rfam family "Bacterial small subunit ribosomal RNA", at positions 509 to 809 of the family's 1533-position model. The record is from RNAcentral.